AACUUCUCAACCAUAUCGAUUUUUGAUGUGGCUUGGAUGUGGGGGUUGUGCAGGCCUCUGACCCUGAGGUCGGCUCCCCUGAAAUGCAUUAGUGGUAUCUGAGCAGAACUACUAUACCAUUUAGGUGUGAUAAGUUAUCUAUGCCUUUGGUAUGCUGCAUGAACGGAUUGCACCGCUUCUAACGGCCCAAUAUAUUUGACGA
RNAcentral lists this unclassified non-coding RNA (202 nucleotides) under uncultured Inocybe. Its description in RNAcentral is "sequence contains ITS2". RNAcentral also lists the same sequence under 1 other name. The record is from RNAcentral. Lineage: Eukaryota; Fungi; Basidiomycota; Agaricomycetes; Agaricales; Cortinariaceae.